UCUAAAAUCAUUAACAACUCCACACAUACAAAAUGAAGUAGCAAGCUUUUCAGUUGCUGAAAACAACAUUGACUUUGCAAAAGAAACCAAUGUUUUCCAAGAAAAAUCAAAGUUGUUUUCAAAUAUAUCGAUGAAUAUGGCUCUAAAACUUGUGUUUCAGAUAAGGAGGAUUGCAGAGAGACACACUUGUCUUCUCAGGAUUUUCAAAAAGUUGUGUUGUCCUGGAUGGCAAAGAUAGAUAAGAAGGUGGAUAAGUUAUUGCUACAGCAAUCUACAUCAACAGCAAGCGCUAGUAUAUCAUCUACAGAGUCCAUUUUUGAAAGAUGCUUAACAAAAUCUGAUGUGGAUUUACUUGAAGAAAAAGUCAAGGCUAGCAAUGUUUUCAAGGGUAGAGUGGUGAGUUGCUAUAUAUUACAACACAAUUGUUAUGAAAU
Hydra vulgaris (swiftwater hydra) is the source of this 434-nucleotide long non-coding RNA. RefSeq lists it as uncharacterized. The record is from RefSeq and is a predicted model, not a curated record. NCBI's taxonomy places the organism in Eukaryota, Metazoa, Cnidaria, Hydrozoa, Anthoathecata, Hydridae.